GACGUAGGGGGCAAGCGUUGUUCGGAAUUAUUGGGCGUAAAGCGCUCGUAGGCGGGACAGGAAGUUCGUGUUGAAAGACCUCGGCUCAACUGAGGGACCGGCUCGAAUACUCUUGUUCUUGAGGCAAUCAGAGGGUGAUGGAAUUCCCGGUGUAGCGGUGAAAUGCGCAGAUAUCGGGAGGAACACCAGUGGCGAAGGCGAUCACCUGGGGUUGUUCUGACGCUGAGGAGCGAAAGCGUGGGGAGCAAACAGG
Molecule: ribosomal RNA, 253 nt
Filed under: uncultured bacterium
Lineage: Bacteria
Description: partial 16S ribosomal RNA
Rfam family: Bacterial small subunit ribosomal RNA
Source: RNAcentral